GCCUGUUUAUCAAAAACAUGGCCUUUUGUGAAUAAUUUAAGGUCUGGCCUGCCCAAUGAUUUGGUUAAAUGGCCGCGGUACUCUGACCGUGCAAAGGUAGCAUAAUCAUUAGUUUUUUAAUUGAAAGCUGGUAUGAACGGUCGGACAAGAAAAUUACUGUCUCAAUUUAAUGGUUUUAGAAUUUUAUUUUUUAGUCAGAAGGCUAAAAUAGUCUUAAGGGACGAGAAGACCCUAUAGAAUUUUAUAAAUUUUAUUGGGUUGGGUUUUUAGGUUUAUUAAUUAGACUUAGUAAAAUUUAUUUUGUUGGGGUGAUGGAAAAAUUUAAGAAACUUUUUUUGUAAAAAAAAAUCAUUAAUUUAUGAUUGGGUGAUCCGUUUAUAGCGAUUACAAGAUUAAAUUACCUUAGGGAUAACAGCGUUAUUAGUCUGGGGAGUUCUUAUCGAUAGACUAGUUUGCGACCUCGAUGUUGGAUUAAAAUAAACUUUUGGUGUAGGGGCUGGAAAGUUAAGUCUGUUCGACUUUUAAAAUUUUACAUGAUCUGAGUUCAGACCGG
RNAcentral lists this ribosomal RNA (553 nucleotides) under Serrognathus reichei clypeatus. RNAcentral's name for it is "partial 16S ribosomal RNA". It matches the Rfam family "Bacterial large subunit ribosomal RNA", at positions 1798 to 2619 of the family's 2925-position model. The record is from RNAcentral. Lineage: Eukaryota; Metazoa; Arthropoda; Insecta; Coleoptera; Lucanidae.